This 1056-nucleotide long non-coding RNA is filed under the name Lonchura striata (white-rumped munia). RNAcentral describes it as "domestica (Bengalese finch) lncRNA (ENSLSDG00000011664.1)". The record is from RNAcentral. Lineage: Eukaryota; Metazoa; Chordata; Aves; Passeriformes; Estrildidae.
GACCCCCGCUGUGCCACCAAGUGUCACCUUUAUUGCCGGGGUGGGAAUGGCGGGGGUCAGCAGGGGUGGCCUCGGUGGCCUCGGUGUCCCCUGUGGGUCCCGAGGUGGCCUCGGUGUCCCCAUGGAGCUCUUGUACCCCCCCCCCACCCCCCAGUUUGGCUCUGUUCGCCCCAGUUCAUCCCAGUGCCCCCCCCCCAGUUCGUUGUGGUGCACCCCCAGUUCAUCCCAGUGCACUCCCAGUUCGUCCUGGUGCACUCCCAGUUCAUCCCAGGGCUCCCCAGUUUGUUCUGGUGCACCCCCAGUUCAUUAUGGUGCACUCCCAGUUCAUCCCAGUUCAUCCCAGCGUGCCCCAGUUUGCCCUGGUGCACUCCCAGUUCAUCCAGGUGUGCCCCAGUUUGCUCUGGUGCAUUCCCAGUUCAUCCCAGUGCCCCCCAGUUCAUCCAGGUGCACUCCCAGUUCAUCCCAGUGCGCCCCAGUUUGCUCUGGUGCAUUCCCAGUUCAUCCUGGUGCACUCCCAGUCCAUGCUGGUGCAUUCCCAGAUUGUCACAGUGUCCCCCAGUUUGUUCUGGUGCACUCCCAGUUCAUCCUCACUCGUUCCAGUUCAUCCAGGUGCACUCCCAGUCCAUCCCAGUGCACUCUCAAUUCAUCCAGGUGCACUCCCAGUCCAUCCCAGUCCAUCCAGGUGCACUCCCAGUGCCUCCCAGUCCAUACUGGUGCACUCCCAGUCCAUGCUGGUGCACUCCCAGUGCAUCCCAGUCCAUCCUGGUGCAUCCCAGUCCAUCCAGGUGCACUCCCAGUCCAUCCCAGUCCAUCCAGAUGAACUCCCAGUGCCUCCCAGUCCAUCCAGGUGCACUUCCAGUUCAUUCCAGUUCAUCCCAGUGCAUUCCAGUCCAUCCCAGUCCAUCCAGAUGCACUCCCAGUGCCUCCCAGUUCAUUCAGGUGCACUCCCAGUGCACCCCAGUCCAUCCAGGUGCACUCCCAGUCCAUCCCAGUCCAUCCAGAUGCACUCCCAGUGCCUCCCAGUUCCUCCCAGUCCAUCCCAGCCCGCCCCCCACC